Molecule: long non-coding RNA, 1844 nt
Organism: Sardina pilchardus (European sardine)
Lineage: Eukaryota; Metazoa; Chordata; Actinopteri; Clupeiformes; Clupeidae
Exons: 2
Source: RefSeq, a predicted model, not a curated record
AGAGAGAGAGAGAGAGAGAGUGUUUAUGUCUCUGAGUGGUGGAAGAUGAGAAAGAGGGGGAGAGAGAGAGAGAGAGAGUGUUUAUGUCUCUGAGUGGUGGAAGAUGAGAAAGAGGGAGAGAGAGAGAGGGGGAAGGAAGGAAGGUGGAAGGAGAGAGAGGAGUGCUGGCAGAGAGAGAGAUGCAGAUAGUGAGUGAGAGUGAAUGAAUGAGAGGGACAGGGUGGAGGGGGAGAGGGGAGAGACAGAAAUAAAAAGAGGGAGAGAGAGAGAGAGGGACCGAGAGCGGAAAGAGUGCCACCUAAAGAGAGAGAGAGAGAGAGAGUGAGAGAGAAAGAGGGAGAGAGAGGGGGCACAGAAUAGGAUCGGCUGAAAAAAGAAAGAGAGGCUCUCGUCUUUCAGACGGUCUAUUUAUACUCCGGGUACAGCCCGUCCUCCACUGAACACUAGACUCUGUAAAGGCCAAGGAAGAGACGCAGGCCGUAAAGAGCCACAACAAACAGUGCGUCUCAUGGCCGCGCACAGGGACAACUAUAGGACUGACUGAUCACACCUCCCACCCAGCAUGGGGAACCGGGCGGCCAUCUUGAAAUAGGUCACGGUUUGGAUUUUUUAUUUUUAUUUUUAUUUUUUUUUUUAAAGGGGGAGGGGGGGCAAGAAAGCCAAAGAACUGUGUGACUGUUACAUUCCACCCCCUAAAACACACACACACACACACACACACACACACACACACACUUUCUCUCUCUGUGUGUGUAUGCUCUGUGUCAAACAGGACAGCCGCGAGUGACCAAACAUUUUGACAUGUUUGCCCAAAUGAUUAUGCAACAUAUCCUUGAUGGGCAGUAGCCUAUAUGUGUACUGAACCUGCCAUAUUUCAUGUCCAUUGGACGUGCCAUAUUUUAUGUCCAUUGGACAUGCCAUAUUUCAUGUCCAUUGGACCUGCCAUAUUUCAUGUCCAUUGGACUUGCCAUAUUUCAUGGAUUCUACUGCAGAACUUACUGUUUCAUUGUAUUCUAUACAGUCAAUGUAUAGGGAUGGUGUCUGCGCCUUUUGUCUUAAGAGUUUUGUUGUGCCCGUGCGUAAAUUCAAGAAAAAGUUCAGUCAGGUCAUGGAAAAGUAGAGACUGCACUCAGGGGCUGAAAUGUAUUCAACGUGCCGAGAGAACAUUAGACAACAAAACGACUAACGUUUCGAGCCAAACUCAUCAUCAGUGUCUCAAUUUUGAAACAUCUCACCAGGCGGUGACGCCUCCUAUAGGUCAAUGUGGACAUUACAGACACUCAGACAGUAUGCAGGUCAUUUAGGCUACCACAAGCCAAAAAAAAAAAAGACAAUCUUUAUUUGUUUGUUUCUGUUUAUUGAUGUUUAUUUUGUUCUGUUUUGUUUGUUUAUGGUCAACAGGGGGCUGAUAUUCAGAUUCCUAUGAAUAGGGAUGUGAUCUCGACCUGGAAGAAGAAACGCCGAAUAGGGAUGCCUGCGGAAGAGGAGACCAAAUUCAUCUGACAAACACACAAACACAAAGAUGGAUUCAUUCAUUCAAUGUGUGGUUUCCUGGACAAUUUAUAUUUGCUUGGACAAAUAACAGACAUAUAGGCCUCCUCAGUUACAAAUAUUUUUGAACACGGCCUGAAAGUUGUUUAUUUUUUUGUAGUUAAAUAUGCCAUGAUACCACCUGACCUGAUCUUACUUGAUACAAAACAUGAGGUGGGGAUAGAGGACUGAAUGCAUUAAUGUGUGUGUUUUGACUCUUCUAAAGUAUACACUGUAUGUCAUGCAUGAAUGCAUGUUUAAGAAUGUGCUGAGAAUAAUGUUUUGGGGACAAUAAAAAUAUAUAUCUUUGUGAG